CUGGGGAGGGACCCGGCUCUGUGCGAAGCCGCCCCCCACCCGCGGCGGCAGACUAACGCCCCGGGAAAUGCCGCGAGACUCCUCGAGACCCGAGGAGGUGGGAGUCUGUGGGGGAGGGGGUGUCCGAGUGAAGGGAGAUCAAUCUGAACAGAGAACUAAUCCAGGGGCAGCAGACCCAUCCACACAGCCGUGGAGAAGGUAGUAAUGAUGUCAAUGGCAGAAUCCCGAGGAACAUGGAAACUAAGAGUCUGAAGUGUUGAAGCUCUGGGUGAAGACUCAGUUAUACCUACUCCAGGUACCAUGGCGCCUCCCUCAUUGCAUGCUUUGGCAUAUCAGGGCGAUGAGACCUUGUGAUAUGACAGGAGAAAUUAAGCUCAGAGGCCCCAGUCACAUACUGGGGUUCCAUUGGAGCUGGGUCUCUAGCCUAUGCAGAUGCUUGCCGGUGUUCCAGACAGUGGGAAGAACGAGUGAGAAUGUUCAGCGUCUGGGGAACUGACAAUGUGACAAGGCGGCUUGUGUGAAAGGGGCAGGAGUGCAAACAAAUGUCUGAUUCUGUUUCCCGUCAGGCCCAUUGUGACCAAGGCCUGCAGGCAAUGCGUGGGAGCACGGGUUUCUGAGCAGACUGAUUGUAGGAAGGUAACUGAUGAGAUAAAUGGAAAAGGGACUGGAGGAGGGGAGCCUGAAAGUGGAAGGCCAUGGACAGACUGGAGAUAUUCAGGGCAAGGAAUACAAUGGCACUAGCAUUGACAAAGAAGAAAGGUCACAUUUAGAGUCAUUUCUGAACUACAUUUGACAAACCUGGUGAGGCAGUGUUUUGGGGGAGGGCGUAGGGAGCAAAGCAGGAGGAUUGCAAAGUAUUUUGUUUGGAAGCUUAGCAGACAGAUCACCCAAGUGGAGAAGGGAGCUGUUGGGGGUAGAGAGGAGAUGAUAAAUUCAGAUUUGAAUCAUAUUAUCAGCAAAUGUAAAAGGGAAUGAAGUAGUGAUCCAAGCUAUAUGGAUAUCCCUGGAAUCAUGAUGCUAAGUGAAAGAAACCAGAUAUAAAAGGACAAAUAACAUAGGAUUUCAUUUAUAUGAAAUAUUCAGAACUGUCAAUUCUAUAGAGACAGAAAGUAGAUCAGGGGCUGGAGGAAUUGGGUAGUGACUGUUAAUAGAAAAAGGUUUCUUUUAGGGGUGACAAAAACGUUUUAAAAUUAAAAAUGCAUGGUGAUAGUUGCAUUACUAUAACUAUACUAAAAUAUGAUUGGAUUAUACACUUUAAAAUGGGUGAACUGUAUGGCAUGUGAAUCAUUAUCUCAACAAAGGCAAUUGUGUAUUUUAAAAGAGUGAUAAUGGGUACAGAGUUUCAGUUUGGGAAGAUGAAAAGCUCUGGAGGUGGAUGGAACAAUGUGAAUGUAAAACCAUUGAAACGUACACUUCA
Molecule: long non-coding RNA, 1417 nt
Organism: Phyllostomus hastatus (greater spear-nosed bat)
Lineage: Eukaryota; Metazoa; Chordata; Mammalia; Chiroptera; Phyllostomidae
Exons: 3
Source: RefSeq, a predicted model, not a curated record